This is a long non-coding RNA of Sander lucioperca (pikeperch), 1340 nucleotides long. RefSeq lists it as uncharacterized. The record is from RefSeq and is a predicted model, not a curated record. NCBI's taxonomy places the organism in Eukaryota, Metazoa, Chordata, Actinopteri, Perciformes, Percidae. The transcript is spliced from 2 exons.
UCAUUUCUCCUUCACUCAUCCCCUGUUUGUACUGUACUGUUACCUAGUGCAUGAUGAUUCAAGGAGUGCAGUAUUUUCCUAACUUCAUAGACUAAAAACCUGAGGUGCUGAAGGUAAUAUCCUGUCAGGAAGAGCCAGCCUUUGAUUGGACCAACAGCAAAGUAAUAACAUCUAAUGUGCUUAUAUAUAGGACAGAUGCAUAGAUAACAGAAUGUCUCACUUGGUGUACUUAGGUUUGUCUAUUCCCUGCAUAAUAGAAAUUGCUACACUGGGGGAAAAAAAGACACAAGAUAAAAAUGCAGGAAACAUUUUUGCUCAGUCAAGCACAGGGCAGAUGCAUAGCUGCAUAGUUACAUAAUAUCCUGAGACGAUAUACUGGGUUCCAGCAUACUGGAGGGCGGGGGCUUUUGGCUGCACGCCUGCUAGAUGCAAAACAACACACAAUUCAACAUGUGGGUGUUGACUUUUGCAGCAGCUCUCAAAUGAACACAGUGCAGAAGCUGUUUUCUUAAAUAGCUGGUUUCACUUCUGGCCAUGAAAUGUUUUCAUUGUCUGUCCAUGCUUGUGAAGGACCAAAGCAAAAGGUGCAAACCUGAAGAAGUGUGUGUGGAAUGGAUCAUAUAAAAGCUUAGCCCUUUGAGGCCUUAAGCUCCCCUUUUCCUUUGAGUCUCAGCCUCUCUGUCUGCCAUUUCACAAAGAAUCAUGCUCUUAGAGUAGGGGAUUCAGCCGUGACUCACCCAGUGUGUCUGCUACUUUAAAAGGACUGCUGGAUCAGUUCCAGGGUCCCGGGCCGGGCUAUAACCUAUAUCUCCCUGCUGGGAGACUGUGCAUAGUCAGGAACAGAUAAACAAAGCACGGGAUCAAGUCCAAGUGGAAUUUCCCACCUCAUGUUUCUCAUUGUAGAGUUUUUAUUCGAUGCAUACUCAGAACUAAUGCCACUUCAUGUGGUAGUUGACAAAGUGCAAACCACUUCCAGCCACACUCACACCAGCAGUGUCUUCCUGUUGAAAAGAGGACAGCUCCCUGAGGAAAGCAACCUUCAUUAGUCCGUUGUCAAAGCAAACAUAUUACUGUAUCUAGAGAUGGAAUGGAGGGCAAUGUUUCACCAUCACAGCCAGGCAUCAUGAGACUGACAGAACCUGAUGAAUAAAGAUUGGUGAGGAUCUUCUGUGGCUGGUAUGGCUGUGGCUACGUGGGGAGCAGCUGCACAGGAUAAAAAUACCACCACAAAGCCUCCACAAGCACAAAAUAGCACCGUCAUUGUGCUUUUAGCAUGCAUGACAAAUACACAUACAGUAUAGUACUAGAUAAAUAAACAUGUCAUGAUGUCUUGAGAAAUA